UACAGAGGCCUCGAGCGUUAGGCGGAAUCACUGGGCUUAAAGCGUGUGUAGGUGGAUGCCUAAGUACCUUGUGAAAUCCCAUGGCUUAACCAUGGAAUUGCUCGGUAUACUGGGUGUCUUGAGCCACUCAGGGGCUACCGGAACAAGCGGUGGAGCGGUGAAAUGCGUAGAUAUCGCUUGGAACGCCAGAGGUGAAAACAGGUAGCUGGGGGUGUGCUGACACUGAGACACGAAAGCCAGGGGAGCAAACGGG
RNAcentral lists this ribosomal RNA (253 nucleotides) under uncultured bacterium. Its description in RNAcentral is "partial 16S ribosomal RNA". It matches the Rfam family "Bacterial small subunit ribosomal RNA", at positions 524 to 776 of the family's 1533-position model. The record is from RNAcentral.